Molecule: unclassified non-coding RNA, 376 nt
Filed under: uncultured bacterium
Lineage: Bacteria
Description: contains 16S-23S intergenic spacer region
Source: RNAcentral
UCCGGUUUAACACCGGCAGUCUCCUUAGAGUCCCCGGCAUGACCCGCUGGCAACUAAGGACAAGGGUUUCGCUCGUUAAGCGACUUAACGCGACAUCUCACGACACGAGCUGACGACAGCCAUGCACCACCUGUGCGGGGCCCCGAAGGACACCGUAUCUCUACGGCUUUUCCGUACAUGUCAAGCCUUGGUAAGGUUCUUCGCGUUGCAUCGAAUUAAGCAACAUGCUCCACCGCUUGUGCGGGCCCCCGUCAAUUCCUUUGAGUUUCAGUCUUGCGACCGUACUCCCCAGGCGGCGAACUUAACGCGUUAGCUUCGACACUGAGAGCCAAGUUGCUCCCAACGUCCAGUUCGCAUCGUUUAGGGCGUGGACUAC